GGAUGUGAGGGUGACCUGGCUGCGACAUCUGUCACCCCAUUGAUUGCUAGGAUUGAUUCAGCUGAUCUGCCUGGCUAGGUAGGUGUCCCCUUCCUUCCUCACAGUUCCAUAUGCAUUCCUCCUGAAGCUGUGUGCUUGGUCAAAGAGGACCACCUUCCCCAACGGACGAGUUUUUGGUCAGUCGAGGAUAUACUAGUAGCUAUACUCCCCUGCUAGAACCUCCGCACAAGCUGUCAUUGCUCUAGCUGACUUUCACACAAAGGGAAGAGACACUAUACCACAGGAAGCUCUCCCUGAGUGCUGGCACUUCCCAUG
Molecule: small nuclear RNA, 315 nt
Filed under: Erinaceus europaeus (western European hedgehog)
Lineage: Eukaryota; Metazoa; Chordata; Mammalia; Eulipotyphla; Erinaceidae
Description: 7SK RNA
Rfam family: 7SK RNA
About the family: 7SK was discovered as an abundant small nuclear RNA in the mid-70s but a possible function has only recently been suggested. Two independent studies have found that 7SK RNA binds the CDK9/cyclin T complex (known as elongation factor P-TEFb). P-TEFb activates transcription by phosphorylating the C-terminal domain of RNA polymerase II.
Source: Rfam by way of RNAcentral